Molecule: ribosomal RNA, 459 nt
Filed under: uncultured bacterium
Lineage: Bacteria
Description: partial 16S ribosomal RNA
Rfam family: Bacterial small subunit ribosomal RNA
Source: RNAcentral
CCUACGGGUGGCAGCAGUGAGGAAUAUUGGUCAAUGGCCGGGAGGCUGAACCAGCCAAGUCGCGUGAGGGAAGACGGCCCUACGGGUUGUAAACCUCUUUUGUCAGGGAGCAAGGUGCAGGUCGGGAACUGCUGUGAGAGUACCUGAAGAAAAAGCAUAGGCCAACCCCGUGCCAGCAGCGGCGGUAAUACGGGGGAUGCGAGCGUUAUCCGGAUUUAUUGGGGUAAAGGGGUGGGCAGGCGGAGGCACAAGUCAGCGGUAAAAUCGCGGGGCUCAACCCCGCUCCGCCGUUGAAACUGUGUCCCUUGAGUGCGCGAAGGGUAGGCAGAAUGCGUGGUGUAGCGGUGAAAUGCAUAGAGAUCACGCAGAACCCCGAUUGCGAAGGCAGCCUUCCGGCGACCUACUGACGCUGAGGUACGAAAGUGUGGGGAGCGAACAGGAUUAGAUACCCCAGUAGUC